UACGAAGGGGGCUAGCGUUGUUCGGAUUUACUGGGCGUAAAGCGCACGUAGGCGGAUUGUUAAGUCAGGGGUGAAAUCCUGGAGCUCAACUCCAGAACUGCCUUUGAUACUGGCAAUCUCGAGUCCGGAAGAGGUAAGUGGAACUCCUAGUGUAGAGGUGGAAUUCGUAGAUAUUAGGAAGAACACCAGUGGCGAAGGCGGCUUACUGGUCCGGAACUGACGCUCAUGCACGAAAGCGUGGGGAGCAAACAGG
RNAcentral lists this ribosomal RNA (253 nucleotides) under uncultured bacterium. Its description in RNAcentral is "partial 16S ribosomal RNA". It matches the Rfam family "Bacterial small subunit ribosomal RNA", at positions 524 to 776 of the family's 1533-position model. The record is from RNAcentral.